CCUACGGGCGGCAGCAGUGAGGAAUAGUGGUCAAUGGACGAGAGUCUGAACCAGCCAAGUAGCGUGAAGGAUGACUGCCCUAUGGGUUGUAAACUUCAUUUAUAGGGGAAUAAAAUGUUCCACGUGUAGGAUUUUGUAUGGACCAUAUGAAUAAGGAUCGGCUAACUCCGUGCCAGCAGCCGCGGUAAUACGGAGGAUCCGAGCGUUAUCCGGAGUUAGUGGGUUUAAAGGGAGCGUAGGUGGCUUGUUAAGUCAGUUGUGAAAGUUUGCGGCUCAACCGUAAAAUUGCAGUUGAAACUGGCAGUCUUGCGUACAGUCGAGGUUGGCGGCCUUCGUGGUGUCGCGGUUACAUGCUUAGCUCUCACG
This 366-nucleotide ribosomal RNA is filed under the name uncultured bacterium. Its description in RNAcentral is "partial 16S ribosomal RNA". It matches the Rfam family "Bacterial small subunit ribosomal RNA", at positions 338 to 701 of the family's 1533-position model. The record is from RNAcentral.